Molecule: non-coding RNA, 169 nt
Filed under: Limosilactobacillus gastricus
Lineage: Bacteria; Bacillati; Bacillota; Bacilli; Lactobacillales; Lactobacillaceae
Also listed under: 1 other name
Description: Lactobacillus gastricus Lysine sequence
Rfam family: Lysine riboswitch aptamer
About the family: Riboswitches are metabolite binding domains within certain messenger RNAs that serve as precision sensors for their corresponding targets. Allosteric rearrangement of mRNA structure is mediated by ligand binding, and this results in modulation of gene expression.
Source: RNAcentral
AGUUAACGAAGAGGUGCAUGUCUCAUCAGUAAUCAUUGUUAGGCUGGCAAAAGCUGGAGCAUUGAUGAAAGGGUGCCGUGCCGAAACAAAACUGGUUUGCCCCAGUGGCGUUGGGGGAUCGUUGAAGAAGCGAUUCACUGUCGUGGAAACACGGAGCGCUUCUAGAUAA